UACGGAGGGUGCGAGCGUUGUCCGGAAUCACUGGGCGUAAAGGGCGCGUAGGCGGUCUGGUAAGCGUGUGGUGAAAGCUCGGGGCUCAACCCCGAGUCGGCCAUGCGAACUGCUGGACUUGAGCACUGUAGAGGCAGACGGAAUUCCGGGUGUAGCGGUGGAAUGCGUAGAGAUCCGGAAGAACACCGGUGGCGAAGGCGGUCUGCUGGGCAGUUGCUGACGCUGAGGCGCGACAGCGUGGGGAGCAAACAGGAUUAGAAACCCGUGUAGUCC
This 273-nucleotide ribosomal RNA is filed under the name uncultured bacterium. Its description in RNAcentral is "partial 16S ribosomal RNA". It matches the Rfam family "Bacterial small subunit ribosomal RNA", at positions 524 to 796 of the family's 1533-position model. The record is from RNAcentral.